This 692-nucleotide ribosomal RNA is filed under the name uncultured Bacteroidota bacterium. RNAcentral's name for it is "bacterial SSU rRNA". It matches the Rfam family "Bacterial small subunit ribosomal RNA", at positions 72 to 763 of the family's 1533-position model. The record is from RNAcentral. Lineage: Bacteria; Pseudomonadati; Bacteroidota.
UAGCUUGCUAAUUUGCUGACGACCGGCGCACGGGUGCGUAACGCGUAUACAACCUACCUUUUGGAGGGGAAUAGCCCAGGGAAACUUGGAUUAAUGCCCCAUAGUAUGUUGAUCUCUCCUGAGAUUAUCAUUAAACAUUUAUGGCCAUUAGAUGGGUAUGCGUCCUAUUAGUUUGUUGGUAAGGUAACGGCUUACCAAGGCUACGAUAGGUAGGGGUCCUGAGAGGGAGAUCCCCCACACUGGUACUGAGACACGGACCAGACUCCUACGGGAGGCAGCAGUGAGGAAUAUUGGACAAUGGGCGAGAGCCUGAUCCAGCCAUGCCGCGUGCAGGAAGACUGCCCUAUGGGUUGUAAACUGCUUUUAUACGGGAAGAACCGCACCCUCGUGAGGGUGUUUGACGGUACCGUAAGAAUAAGGAUCGGCUAACUCCGUGCCAGCAGCCGCGGUAAUACGGAGGAUCCAAGCGUUAUCCGGAAUCAUUGGGUUUAAAGGGUCCGUAGGCGGGAUAAUCAGUCAGUGGUGAAAGUCUGCAGCUCAACUGUAGAAUUGCCAUUGAUACUGUUAUCCUUGAGUUAUUAUGAAGUGGUUAGAAUGAGUAGUGUAGCGGUGAAAUGCAUAGAUAUUACUCAGAAUACCGAUUGCGAAGGCAGAUCACUAAUAAUACACUGACGCUGAUGGACGAAAGCGUA